RNAcentral lists this ribosomal RNA (440 nucleotides) under uncultured bacterium. Its description in RNAcentral is "bacterial SSU rRNA". It matches the Rfam family "Bacterial small subunit ribosomal RNA", at positions 338 to 795 of the family's 1533-position model. The record is from RNAcentral.
CCUACGGGAGGCUGCAGUGGGGAAUAUUGCACAAUGGGGGAAACCCUGAUGCAGCAACGCCGCGUGAGCGAUGAAGGCCUUCGGGUCGUAAAGCUCUGUCCUAAGGGAAGAAUACUGACGGUACCUUAGGAGGAAGCCCCGGCUAACUACGUGCCAGCAGCCGCGGUAAUACGUAGGGGGCUAGCGUUAUCCGGAAUUACUGGGCGUAAAGGGUGCGUAGGCGGCCCUUGAAGUUAGAGGUGAAAGGCUACGGCACAACCGUAGUAAGCCUUAGAAGCUGUAGGGCUUGGGUGUAGGAGUGGCGAGAGAAAUUCCCAGUGUAGCGGUGAAUUGCGUAGAUAUUGGGAGGAACACCAGUUGCGAAGGCGGACAUCUGGACUGUAACUGACGCUGAGGCACGAAAGCGUGGGGAGCGAUCAGGGUUAGAUACCCCUGUAGUC